This 604-nucleotide ribosomal RNA is filed under the name uncultured fungus. Its description in RNAcentral is "eukaryotic LSU rRNA". The stretch from base 246 to 399 matches the Rfam family "5.8S ribosomal RNA". Lineage: Eukaryota; Fungi. The record is from RNAcentral.
AGUAAAAGUCGUAACAAGGUCUCCGUAGGUGAACCUGCGGAGGGAUCAUUACACAAUAACAAGGCGGGCUGGACACCCCCCGCUGGGCACUGCUUCACGGCGUGCGCGGCGGGGCCGGCCCUGCUGAAUUAUUCACCCGUGUCUUUUGCGUACUUCUUGUUUCCUGGGUGGGCUCGCCCGCCCUCAGGACCAACCACAAACCUUUUGCAAUAGCAAUCAGCGUCAGUAACAACGUAAUUAAUUACAACUUUCAACAACGGAUCUCUUGGUUCUGGCAUCGAUGAAGAACGCAGCGAAAUGCGAUAAGUAAUGUGAAUUGCAGAAUUCAGUGAAUCAUCGAAUCUUUGAACGCACAUUGCGCCCCCUGGUAUUCCGGGGGGCAUGCCUGUUCGAGCGUCACUUCACCACUCAAGCCUCGCUUGGUAUUGGGCGUCGCGGGUCCCCCGCGCGCCUCAAAGUCUCCGGCUGAGCGGUUCGUCUCCCAGCGUUGUGGCAACUAUUUCGCAGUGGAGUUCGAGUCGUCGCGGCCGUUAAAUCUUUCAAAGGUUGACCUCGGAUCAGGUAGGGAUACCCGCUGAACUUAAGCAUAUCAAUAAGCGGAGGA